This is a microRNA precursor of Medicago truncatula (barrel medic), 78 nucleotides long. It matches the Rfam family "MIR5286 microRNA precursor family". The record is from Rfam. NCBI's taxonomy places the organism in Eukaryota, Viridiplantae, Streptophyta, Magnoliopsida, Fabales, Fabaceae.
AACAACUCUAGUUGUCCAGUGUUUGAUUUGUAAAACUGUUUCAGGUACAAGACAAACUGGAGGCAAGGGACAGGACAA